GCCUUCGUGGUGUAAUAGUAGCACACACGGCGCAUAAUCGAGAGGUCCAGGUUCGAAUCCCGGCGACAGCA
This 71-nucleotide transfer RNA is filed under the name Stegodyphus mimosarum. It matches the Rfam family "tRNA". Rfam says of the family: Transfer RNA (tRNA) molecules are approximately 80 nucleotides in length. Their secondary structure includes four short double-helical elements and three loops (D, anti-codon, and T loops). Further hydrogen bonds mediate the characteristic L-shaped molecular structure. tRNAs have two regions of fundamental functional importance: the anti-codon, which is responsible for specific mRNA codon recognition, and the 3' end, to which the tRNAs corresponding amino acid is attached (by aminoacyl-tRNA synthetases). tRNAs cope with the degeneracy of the genetic code in two manners: having more than one tRNA (with a specific anti-codon) for a particular amino acid; and 'wobble' base-pairing, i.e. permitting non-standard base-pairing at the 3rd anti-codon position. The record is from Rfam by way of RNAcentral. Lineage: Eukaryota; Metazoa; Arthropoda; Arachnida; Araneae; Eresidae.